UUGGGAUUCGGGGCCUUUUGGCCUGUCUGCACCCUUGUCUUUUUGUGUACCGUCUGUUUCCUCGGCAGCUUAGCCUGCCAACGGGGACCCCUAAAAACCUUCUGUAAUAGCAUGAACAUUCUGAAACCUAUCAAACGUAUCA
RNAcentral lists this unclassified non-coding RNA (142 nucleotides) under uncultured Ascomycota. RNAcentral describes it as "sequence contains ITS1". Lineage: Eukaryota; Fungi; Ascomycota. The record is from RNAcentral.